GAUGAACGCUGGCGGCGUGCCUCAAACAUGCAAGUCGAGCGGGGCUAUGUAAUAUCGCAAGGUAGAACAUAGCCUAGCGGCGAACGGGUGAGUAACACGUGGGUAACCUGCCUGGAAGACAGGGAUAACGAUUCGAAAGGGUCGCUAAUACCUGAUAAUAUCCUUUCAUCGCAUGGUGAUAGGAAGAAAGGGGAAACCCGCUUUCAGAUGGGCCCGCGUCCCAUCAGCUAGUUGGUAAGGUAAAGGCUUACCAAGGCGACGACGGGUAGCCGGUCUGAGAGGAUGUACGGCCACACUGGGACUGAGAUACGGCCCAGACUCCUACGGGAGGCAGCAGUUGGGGAAUAUUCCGCAAUGGACGAAAGUCUGACGGAGCAACGCCGCGUGAGUGAUGAAGGUUUUCGGACUGUAAAACUCUGUUGUUUUAGGACGAAAGUGCCUGUUGCAAAUAGUUGCAGGUAUUGACGGUACUGAACGAGGAGCCACGGCUAACUACGUGCCAGCAGCCGG
This 510-nucleotide ribosomal RNA is filed under the name uncultured bacterium. Its description in RNAcentral is "bacterial SSU rRNA". It matches the Rfam family "Bacterial small subunit ribosomal RNA", at positions 28 to 518 of the family's 1533-position model. The record is from RNAcentral.